AUAUUUUAACGUGUUGGCUACGAGUUAUGCCGAGAUGCUUUUUGUCUGAAAAGGCGACUACCCCCCGCGCCCCCCAUGCCUCUCUUUGACGAGUGUGUUUAGGAAACGUCAGGGCAAUUGCCAUGUAAUGUUUUCAGUACGGAGGUCCCGAUCACAUUUUUCCAUCACAGUCCGAGUCUUUGAUUUUAAGAAUCUGCCGAUACAGAGUCCUGAUCUAGUACAUAAAACUACUCUGAUAUCUCUAAAAAAAAAAAACAUCCUGGAGAUCACUAAUGAGCACCCAACUGUGAAAUCUGUCAUCAUACACAUAAAGGCCCUGGAUGUUGUCAAGCAGCAAUGAGAGGUGCUGAAGCGGGAUUUCACUGAUCUCCUAACAAAGUUUUCAUAAGUGGACCUCUCCCAACGGUACGAUUUGGAAAUGAAUGUUUCACGAGGUUCAGUCAAUUAAAUAAGUGGCUCAAAGAAGUGUGGACUGCACUGCCCGUGAGUAUCAUUGACAAUUUCUGCCUUUUUUGGCAGUGCAGACAUCUUUACCAGCCAUACGCUUUCUGUCUAAAUAGACAAGGGGUGAAGUUAUUGGCUGCCAACAUCUUUGACUGUGUACGUCAUUCAGCGGCCCGAAAGGAAAACACUGGCCUUGUUGACACGGCUGAAGGACAAAAAGAUGCAGUUGUUCCCAAACAAUCGGAGGAGCAAGAGAUAAGGUCACACGAAGCGCAGAUGGAUUCAUUAGCGUCAUCCAAACAAUCAGAGGAACGGAGGAGGAAUGAGAUGAGCCAGCACUUUGAAUCUCCCUGACCCAUUGGAACAAAGCCCAAAGCAAAACUCACUCUUUACGACCCUAAAUGUGACAGACUCUCUUGAUUAUGAGAGACAGAAAAUCCCUGGUCUGAUGAGACAAACAUUUAAAGUCAAAGUCAAAGAUGAAAAAGGUUUUGUUGUUGUUCAAUAUAGCAGCCUACUGAAGAUUAGACCGCUGUUCAUAUUUAUAUUUAGCAUGAAAUACAGUAUAUACGGUUAAGGCAAAAUCCGUUUUGAGAUCUGUGAGGGGAAAGGGUAGCCAGCAAAUUCAUUUGUUUGACCAGCUUCCUUAGCAAUGACUAUCAUAACAAAUGUCAGAAGAUGAAACAGCAAAAAAAAGGAUUUAUCCUCUCUAACCUCAUAAAUAACAACUAAGUAUCACUUCAUACUUUUCGACGUGAAAUAGAAACCUCGUUAGGGUUCUGCAGGAAAGAAAUCAAAGCUCAUCGGGGGUCCCAACAAGACUCACAGAAAGCCUACGUACAAAUCAGGGAGGACAUUAUGUGCACAGCGACUGAAGCUAUUCUCGGUUUCAAUACGUGGACACGAUGUUAAGGUAAUACUGUGGUCGCUUCAAAAGGGACUAAAUAAAACACGUCAUACUAUAGACUAUCAUCACUCUUCAGCUAACGCUACUAGAACCUGUGCAUGAUAGUCAGGACAAGGAUGGACAAGAAAAAAACCCCCCUCCAAAACAAAAAGGUGGUUCUGAGAAGUGGAGAGAUUAAAAAGAAAUUCCCGAGGCAGUGGCGGCUACACAAAAUGUAAUGAACAGCGAUUUGGCGCUCGUUCGAGUUUGGCUCCGGCCACACAGGAGUCCGUUGCCAGCACAAGCUUACUUUAACAGCUGGAUAUCGACAAACACGAAAGACCUCGUGAUAUCAUUGAAACUUUGUGAUGCUUGAUGUGAGAAUGCUUCUUUUGCUAACAUUAGUUUGCUUGGUAACGGCGCUACCAAGUGCCAACUAUAGCCUCGUUGUGUAGGCUGCCUGGGCCUACGUUUCACAGAGUUCCAAAGUGACCAAAUCUUUCCUACAUUUGUCAACCUGCUCACUGCUGAUGUUAUUUUCUGGUUGAAAUCAACCUGUUACUGUCUGAGUCUGCUACUAAAUGAAUAUGAAUGAAGAAAUAGCUCAUUAAUUUGUCUGUGCAUGCCCCAUCCCAUAUACAUGGGAUCAUCAGCAACCACAACAAUCAGUCAUUUCAUCCCAGAGUGUGUGUUAGGCCUGCACACAAUGAGGAAAAACCGCAAUAUUGGAAUAUGACGUGAUAAAUAAGCUACGAGAUAGAAUUGGUUAUCACAUCUUAAUUCACUUUCUCAUUUGUCUUUAGUGUCCAGGAUGUCAUUAUCGCUUGACGAUGAACAUUUGACACAAGGUUCUGCAGCCUUGUGUCUGGCUUCGUCAAUCCGUUUGCGCAGGAUGUCGUGGCAAUUUCAAAAUGUCAAUAACGUGUAUAGGCAUAUUUUGUUGUCUCUCAAUCAUAGCAUGCACGUUCCCGAGAGGACAGCGACCCUCAAAUUGGUGUGGUAUGGGUACGACUAGUGUUACGCCGGAUCACUCUAUUGGUAUGUGACAAUCUCGGAAUUCAAUGUUCCAAAUGUAAACAAUGUUUCAGUGGCUUAAACUUUGAAUUUUUCAUUUUUUCUUUUCAUCCAGUGCAGUGUAUUUGUUGAGUACAAUUCAGUCGUAUAGAACUUUUAAGCUCAAUACAGUUGCAUUUAAGAAUUCUUUGUUUCCAAAUAUUUUAGGUAACAUGUUUGUGUUCAAAAUAUUUGAAUUGAAUUAAUUACUGAUGUACAUAGGACGAUAUUUAAGAACACUGCUAAUGUUCAAACUAAAGUUACAGUGGCUUAUGAUUAUAUUAAAUACAGUUUUUAAGAAAGAAACUGAAACUGCCUUGUUGUCUGUAACUCAGACAUGUUGGUCAUUCUGGUGGAACUUUUCAAGAUUCAAGUAUUUUUGGAGGUGGUACUUUGUGUGAAACAUUUGAGAAGUACUAAUCUACAUCAGGCGUCACGGUGAGCGACUGGUUAGCACAUCUGCCUCACAGUUCUGAGGACCGGGGUUCAAAUCCCGGCCCCGCCUGAGUGGAGUUUGCAUGUUCUCCCCGUGCCUGGGUGGCUUUUCUCCGGGCACUCCGCUUUCCUCCCACAUCCCAAAAAGAUGCGUGCUAGGUUGAUUGAAGACUCUAAAUUGCCCAACAGGGCCCAACACAGGAGCCAGCAGCCAUCCAAAAAACGGCCAUAGCCUGCCAAAGCGAGCCCACAGGAGGGCACAGGCCCAGGACGCAGCAGCACGGCCCCCGAGCCCCCACCCGGGGAGCAGGAUGAGACCCCCGGAGUGGGGCCAAGGGGCACAGGAGGGCACAUUCCCGGGACGAAGCAGCGCGGGCCCCCCAAGUCCCCACUCGGAGACCAGGACGAGACCCCAGAGUGGGGCCGACGGGCACCCGGGGACAGAGAGCAGCCCCAGGAGGGCAAUACAUUUUAAUGAAAGUUCCAGUAUUGGAGCCGGGAGGGCGCUUUGUGUCCUCUCUCUCCCCCCUCCCCUCUCUGUUUUCAGCACCUGUCUUCAAUCAGCCUCAUCACCACCGGUGUAUAUAAGCCUGCCUGUUCCCGGAAAUCCUCGCCUAAGUAUUGCAGCCUCUCCUAGCGUGCUCCCCUGUGUUCCUGACCCACGUCGUUCCUGCCACCGAGCCAGCCGCCUGCUCUGUCCACUGCCUGCCACCUGUCCACGCCGCCGCCUGCCAACACAUCCGGGACCACCUCCAUAACCUUU
Phyllopteryx taeniolatus (common seadragon) is the source of this 3581-nucleotide long non-coding RNA. RefSeq lists it as uncharacterized. The transcript is spliced from 3 exons. The record is from RefSeq and is a predicted model, not a curated record. NCBI's taxonomy places the organism in Eukaryota, Metazoa, Chordata, Actinopteri, Syngnathiformes, Syngnathidae.